Mesocricetus auratus (golden hamster) is the source of this 3942-nucleotide long non-coding RNA. RefSeq lists it as uncharacterized. The transcript has 2 exons. Lineage: Eukaryota; Metazoa; Chordata; Mammalia; Rodentia; Cricetidae. The record is from RefSeq and is a predicted model, not a curated record.
GGAGGCUUCCGCCUGCCUCAUCGCCACCUUGACACCCUGCACCCUCCAGAUCCCUAGCCCCUGGCCGAAGGCCCAGUCGCACCCUGAACCCGGGGAGCUGAGGGAGUAGAAGGAAAGACAGAAAAGAAGCCACGGGGAAUCUGGAAAACGCUGGGAAGCGCCCCCACCUCGAGGUCCUCGAAAGCCAAGGCCUUAUCCGUACUGGUGGAACUUUGUGCUGUUCUGAAGAUGGAGAUUCACUCGAUGGCUUCUUGCGGAGACUUUCAGGACCCAGCUGGACCUGGGUCGAGUUCCUCACCUUCUUAUGCCAAGAGUACUGCGCGUCCUGUCCUGCAAAGCCCUCGGGCUCCUCGCAGGCAGAGAGGACCAGAGGAUACCUCUUUGCAGUUCGACGACCCGGUGUGACGGUGGAUAUGGGAAUCCAGGAAGAAGAUCGGGUUGCAUUGCGGAGGGGAUGCCGCGCCCGUCCGGCCACCACCUCCGCAGCAAGGAGGCCCGCGGGUUCCUAGGGACCCCGCCUAGCGGUGUUGUUCUCUCCUCUUACUCUCUUGGCGCAGCAGGGGCGCCCAGCUGGAAAUUAGAGCAGGGAGGGAGGAAUUCUGAAGGCGCGAGGGGAUGAUAUCUGGGGCCAGAGUGAGGCUAGGCCUGGAUGCUUCGCCGGGGACGCGGGAGCUGCAGGGAGCUGGGCGCAGGCACUGCUCUAAUCGCCGACCGCUAUUAAAAAUAAAACCGCGACCCGUCGUCAUAGCGACCGCAGCAACAGCGGCAGCGCGAGGGUGGUAAGAGCUUGUGUAGCCCGGCGCCAGCCGCCUGAGGGGACUGGGGCACGAGCCCUUAAGCUUACAGGGUGCUCUCAUGUGAGACAGCGAUCCCUAACCCCUCACCUCCAUGGGUCCUCGGAAGACUCCUAAGAGAUGGACGCCUGAUCUCUGAAAACUGGGACUGGCUAAAUCAUGUAGUCAAGGGCCUAAAGGAGAACUAGCCAACUCAGACCACCCCCUUGCCUCGGUUUCCCUUGGGACCCGCUGCUCCAGUCCUCAUUUUGGUCUCUGGAGAAAGGGCUGUAUGAGGGGGGUGAGGUUCAGGUGUCAGGCUUCCAGAGAACACCAAGAAACCAAGCCGAGCUGGUGGCGUUGCAUGCGCUUGAGGCCACCGCACCUGUCCCGCCCGCGCCUCGGUGAUCCCUUCUGGUGGGAGAGAUCACGUGCUUCCCUCUGGCUGGGAUUCGAGUUUCACUUCCAGCCGCUAUUAGGCGGUUCGCUCGGUUCACUGCAAACAUUUGAUAAUGAGGCUAAAUAUACUUUAGAGUCGGAGGAGACGUGGGCGGCUGCUGCCCUAGCCUGUAGGUGCGUCGCUCCAGGCUCCACGGGGCAUCCCUGCCCCAGCCGCUCAGAAGAACCCCCAAGCCUGGUGCCAGAGAAAGACCCGUACCCACUCCCAAAUAACCCUAUCCCCACCAGGACAAACAUCUUAGAGGCGGUGGACACCUGAUGGUCAGCUGGAGGGUCCCUAGAGGAAGAAGGCAUUAGCAGCCGGGAGCUCGGAGACAUAGGGGAGGAGGUGGAGAGGGGCACCAGAAGGUGCACCUGGCGGUGACCGGGGAUGUCCGGUCGCCCCCGGAGCGGAUGCUUCCGGCCUGUCUCCAGCGCCCCUGGCGCUGCGCGAUAUGUCCGCCCGCCCAUAAUUAAAGUGUCAAGUGUUUGAAAUAGCCCAAAAGAGGCCUGAGCAGCUGAGGUGACCAUCUAACCCUUGAUGAUGCCCUCUCCAACCAAGACUCCGAGCACACAGGGGGGGGGGGGAAUAGACACGGCUUUGAGAGGAGGGAGACCAUCCGACUGGACUAAGAAAUCACUGCAUAGCCCAACAUCUUAAACGUGAAGCACUUAGCCAGUGCCCUUCAAUUGCUUGGAACUCAAUUAUCCGUGCUCAGUUAUUGCAGUCGUUGUUACUUAUUAGCUGCAAGGACCGAUACUGAGCCCUGAUACUGAUGCAGGUCUUUUCCCCUGUGAAAUAAUUUCAUACCGAGGCAGAGGGACUUAGACACCCCUUCCAGUCCACAGAGAACAGGUGAAACUAAGUCCCAAGCACCAAGUGUCCCAUCCCUUGGGAGAUGCAAGAAUACCGGAAACUAGAAUGGAUCAGGUUGCAUUUGUACUAGGCAAGAAUGUGAAGGCUGUAUGGAUGGGUAGCUCCAGGUCUAGACAUCCCAUCCCAACCCCUAGAAGAGAAACAUCGAAGCCCUCGGUUCUCUGUGCUGUUGACUUUAUUCUUGAUGUGAUCUGUCCCUGGCUCACCUUGAAUUUGGUUCCUUUAUCUGGGGAAACAAAAAAAGAAGCAAAAAAAAAAAAAAAAAACCCUGGAAGCCAGUGUACCACCCUGUAGGUGGUCUCCGCACCCAGCAGCCCCCAGGAACCCAUAGGACCCUCUCUAUGUGGGUGGGGCCAGCUGGGCCCCAGGCAUCCAGGCUCUGCCAGAGCCAUCCCAGAACAAUUUGUAAUGUUGAAACACCAGUUUCCCUUUAUCUCUGGGCAAGGCUUUCUUGGUUCUGGGCAAUUAACCCAAAUAGAGCCUCAGCCAUGUGGGCUCUGGUCCUUGAAGAUCAAAAGUGCCCAGCCACAAGCCUUAAUUAUGUCAUUAUCUUGCCCCCCUUCUUCCCCCAGGCUAAGGAUCGGGCCUUUCCAGUUCAGGCUCCCCAGAAAGCAAGAUAACUCUGUGCUGGGGUGGGAGGGCACCUCCAGGAUGCUUUCCACUCCCUAGUAUGUGCUUUUAUUUUCACUUUUAAAUACACAAACAGAAAUUAUGUUUAAAAUAGCCUAUAAACCCACAAUAGACUUGUGAAUAUUUUGUGAAUGAAGGCCUACAUAAAGGAAUGUAUGGUGGCUUUUUAAAAGGAAAAGCCUAGGCGUUAGGGAAUGCAACACAGUUGAUAGUGUGCUUGCCUUAAUACACAAGACCCUGAAUUCUGUUCCCAGCACCAAACAAAAACAACUCCAGUAAAGCAUGCUUGUAAUUCCAGCAUUCUGGUGGCAAGAGAUUGGGAGUUCAAGGUCAUCCUUGAGACACAGUGAGCUCAAGGCCAGUUGGGGAUGCAUUAGACCCUGACUUAGGAAGGAAGGAAGGAAGGAAGGAAGGAAGGAAGGAAGGAAGGAAGGAAGGAAGGAAGGAAGGAAGGAAGGAGAGGAGAGGAGAGGAGAGGAGAGGAGAAAGACCAGCCAGGCAUGGUGGUACAUAUCUAUAAUCCUAGUACUCAUGAGGCUGAGGCACAAGGAUUACCUCAACUUGAAAGAUAGCCUGGGCUACAUAGUAAGAUUCCCAUUUCAAAAAAACCAAAACAGCAAAAAAAAAAAAAAAAAAAAGGAAGCCCAAAAUGUAAAUUCUGUCCUGGUCUCAGAAGUUGAAGCCACAUGUGGCCGCUGGGAUUUAGGGGUGUCUGAUCACAACUGUUGCCUGCAAAGUGUGGGGGUUUAAGAAGACUCAAAGCCAGGCGUUGGUGGCGCACGACUUUAAUCUCAGUACUCGGGAGCCAGAGGCAGGCGGAUUUCUGUGAGUUCGAAGCCAGCUUGGUCUACAGAGAGAGUUCCAGGACAGCCUCCAAAACAAUACAGAGAAACCCUGUCUCGAAAAACCAAAAAAAAAAAAAAAAAGAAGAAGAAGACUCAAGAUUCUAGAUCCCAUGCAGGGUAGAGAAAAACUUUAUUUUUUUUUUUUAACAUUUUAGGUGUGUGAGUGUCUUUCAUAUGUGUCUGUGUACCACAUGCAUGCCUGGUGCCUGUAGAGCCCAGAAGAGGGCAUCGGAUCCCCUGAAAGUGGAGCUACAGAUGGUUGUGAGCUGCCUGCCAUGUGGUUGCUGAGAAUCAAACCCAGGUCCUCUGGAAGAGCAGCCAGUGCUUGUAACUGCUGGGGCAUCUCUCCAGACCCCAGAAUAAAACUUUUUGUUAGUAA